Long non-coding RNA from Orbicella faveolata, 1884 nucleotides. Lineage: Eukaryota; Metazoa; Cnidaria; Anthozoa; Scleractinia; Merulinidae. The record is from RefSeq and is a predicted model, not a curated record.
AUGUGGUCUUCCCUUGUUUUCAAGAUGGAUCAGAGCUCAAAAAGACCACGAGACGCUCGAUGGAGGGAGGCGGCACGGACGAUAUGAGGACGUAGCUGUAUGGCGAUUUAAUCAGAUUGUCAACUGCUGUCGGUAUUUCGUGAGUCAAACUGGCAAAGGCCUGGUCACUUUGCUAACUGGAAGUGCUUCGUGCGAGAGUCCAAAACGAGGCCAGAGAAAGGGCGUGACUUCCAGUGGUACCCAGGCCACUCCAGAGGGGCUGGAACUUGCGCGGAGCUGUGGGGUUAAUGUGGAAUCACUUCGCGUCUUCUGCGCCCGAUUCUCCAACCAGUCCAAACCAGUUACGUGAGGCGACGUGGAAAUCCAGAUGUUCUGGACGUGCUAAAGAUAUAGUGGGUUGUGUACCUAACCAUACCAACCUAUACUCUAGGGCUGAUAAACGACGUGUGACCCAGCACAACCAACCAAGCUGGAAGCAGUCUAGAUAGAGCAACUACCACAGGUUACCUGUUGGUUUCCACUUCUGUUUAAAAGGUGUUAGAGAGUAACCUUUAAAAAUGGCACUCACGCGAGAGUCAACUUUGUUAAAGUGGCUAACGAUUUUUUUUCCCGCGCUGCCUUUCAUGCUUUAUUGAAAGCAACCCAGACCUCUAGUGGUCGUUGUACGUCGAUCUGUUUUUAUUUCGAACUAUUUUUCGAUUGCUUGGCGCCCAAUGAAAUAAUGAAGUCGAGCAAGCCAGACCCCUGUACUGUAAACCAUAUUUCAUGCCCUCCCCCUCAGGCAUAGCUUUUGGGUUGUGGGGGAAUGGGGUCGUGAACAAUUCGUCUAACUCUAGUCUUCAAUGUUGCAUAUCAGUACAAGUCUGUUUAAUCUCCGCCCUCUGCUUGGGUCUCCCUGGAAAUUGACAGUAACCAGAUCAAAGGUAGUUAAAGAGUCGAUAAUUAUUUUGUGCUCUUCAAAGUCUUCAUUAAGAAGCUACAUGUUUACCAAACUCGGCCUUUCUAGAUUUACCUCAAAAGGUUGUAUUUCAAGGACGUAAGAGAAGGAUAAGUUCCCUUUUUCAUUUCGUUGUAGGCCAGUAGCAAGGGUCUAGCUCUUGUGUAGAGGUCCAAAGAUGAUUAGAUUUGUUGACUAUUAUUAGAAGUUUACAGGACUGUUAGCUCUUACUGAAACAUAACAAAAUUUAGGAUCGGUAGAAGAUAGUCUCAACUUAAUUUGACAUUGCUACUUCGUCUGUCCUUUCCAUGCCUCGAUGCCUCAAUUGAUUAAGGUCCUAUAACGUUCUCAUUGUCAAGAAAAUGUUUUAAGUUCCCGUGUGAUGCCUUCAUGGGCAGCUUUCCAUUAGUUGCAGGACUUUGUGUUUUGUCGAGGUAGUGAAAAGCAAAAUUUUGCACCUGUAAGACGAUAUUCUUACAAAGUUUUAAUCCGUGAUGUUAACGACUUUAUGUAGCAAAGGAUUCACUGAUUUUGUUCACACUUUUUCACUGAGAUUGAGAUGAAGUAGCAAGAUACAUAGUGACGUGAUAAUAUUGCAAUACUGAUAUUAGAAAACCAUUGGUGUAUUUGUCAAAGAACUGAUUUGUGUGUCAUGGAAUACCUAGGACACUUGGUUUUCGGUAAGUGAACGGAGUCUCGCUCGUUCCAUGCCCCUCCCACGCCACACUAAAUAACUAUUAUAAACUCGCUAUAACAAUAAAAGGGCUUGUAAGCUGUCUGCAUUGUGCGCAGUGUAACACGAACUGUUCCAACACUGCAUAUUGUGAAAGUCAAUUUUGUCUCUUGAGUGGUGUUGUAGUCGACAUGUUGCACUGGAACGUGUUGUCAGAAGCCAUACUAGUGUAAGAAUGGCGUCAAAUCCAUUAAAGUGCCUACGUGUAGCCUGA